RNAcentral lists this ribosomal RNA (612 nucleotides) under Symbiodinium sp. D1.2. RNAcentral's name for it is "partial 23S ribosomal RNA". It matches the Rfam family "Bacterial large subunit ribosomal RNA", at positions 1929 to 2618 of the family's 2925-position model. Lineage: Eukaryota; Dinophyceae; Suessiales; Symbiodiniaceae. The record is from RNAcentral.
GACGGCUGUAACUAUAACGGUCCUAAGGUAGCAAAUUUCCUUGUCGUCUUAAUAACGACCUGCAUGAAACAUGGAACAAAUUGAUAGCUGUCUUUUACUUACAUCAUGGUGAAAUAUUCUUCAGUACAAAUAAUAUGCUGUUGUCUUUUUGUAGCUAAAGGACAAAAAGACCCUUUGAAGCUUAAUAGAGAUAGUUUUUCGAAUUCUUUGUGCUAAAAUAUCAGAUUUUCUUGUAUUUGCAAGAGUUAAUUGCAUAUAACUUGAUCAAGACCACUGUUUAAUUGGGGCGAUUUCCUUAUUUAAUUUACCUAAGGUGAACAAAGUAAUAAAAGGAUAUAAAAUUAUUCAACUCAGUAGUUUAAAGAUAUAAAUUUUACUUAAUUUCCCAUAGACGUCUUGGGCUAGUUUUUAAUGGCUAUCUUAAUGAGCUUUAAAAUAAUUUAUCUGAGUGAAGCUACUCUACGGAUAACAGGCUUAAUUUCUGCAAUAUUUAAGUUCACAUUUUCAAGAAAAAUGCACCUCGAUGUCGGCUUAUCGUCACCAAAAUAUGUAGCUAGCUUAUUGGUGGGAGUGCUCAUCCCAUAAUUCGGUACGUGAGCUGGGUUCAAUACG